GGAUGUGAGGGCGAUCUGGCUGCGACAUCUGUCACCCCAUUGAUCACCAGGGUUGAUUUGGCUGAUCUGGCUGGCUAGGUGGGUGUCCCCUUCCUCCCUCACCACUCCAUGUGCGUCCCUCCCGAAGCUGCGCGCUCAGUCAAAGAGGACGACCAUCCCCGAUAGAGGAGGACCGGUCUUCGGUCAAGGGUAUACGAGUAGCUGCGCUCCCCUGCUAGAUCCUCCAAACAAGCUCUCAAGAAAUGUACUCAUUACCUUGCUCAGGUAAUUGUAACCCCUCUGUAUGGUAUUUUCACAUAAAAAAUUAAUUAAACAAAACCACCAACAAAAAAACCCCAAAUGUCAUUU
Unclassified non-coding RNA from Dipodomys ordii (Ord's kangaroo rat), 348 nucleotides. Its record names the gene 7SK. It matches the Rfam family "7SK RNA". From Rfam's summary of the family: 7SK was discovered as an abundant small nuclear RNA in the mid-70s but a possible function has only recently been suggested. Two independent studies have found that 7SK RNA binds the CDK9/cyclin T complex (known as elongation factor P-TEFb). The record is from Ensembl. Lineage: Eukaryota; Metazoa; Chordata; Mammalia; Rodentia; Heteromyidae.